UGGACAGAAAGACCCUAUGAAGCUUUACUGUAACUUGAAAUUGAAACUGGACUUUGUUUGCGCAGCAUAGGUGGGAGGCUUUGAUGAUUUUCUUGCGGGAAAUUCGGAGCCAUCAGUGAGAUACCACUCCUAUAAUGUUAGGUUUCUAACUUUGAAUCAUUAUCUGGUCAGAGGACAGUUUCAGGCGGGCAGUUUGACUGGGGCGGUCGCCUCCCAAAUGGUAACGGAGGCGUACAAAGGUUUCCUCUGAACGGGUAGAAAUCGUAUCUAGAGUAUAAAGGCAAAAGGAAGCUUGACUGUGAGACCUACAGGUCGAGCAGGGACGAAAGUCGGUCUUAGUGAUCUGACGGUGCUGAGUGGAAAGGCCGUCACUCAACGGAUAAAAGUUACUCUAGGGAUAACAGGCU
RNAcentral lists this ribosomal RNA (407 nucleotides) under uncultured eukaryote. Its description in RNAcentral is "bacterial LSU rRNA". It matches the Rfam family "Bacterial large subunit ribosomal RNA", at positions 2077 to 2483 of the family's 2925-position model. The record is from RNAcentral.